UACAUUUUGCAAGCCAGGAUAGUUUCUAUCGCGUUCUUAAAUCAUCACCCCCUCUUCAGCUUCAUACUGCCAAAAGAGCAUCGAUAGCUAAGCAUCAUUGCGCGGAGUUACGGGGUAGCAGAGGCAUGUUAUCUUAUAGUUAUACAAAAGAAUUUGUGCACCUGUUUGACCCGGCAAUUUCUAAUGCGCCAGGUAGCUAGUUGUUUACAUUCCACGCUUCAGAAUCACCAUUUACCAUGCCGCGUAUCCUUUGUGGGUGGAAGUAGAAACAAACGAAGAAAAGAAGUAGAAAGAGCACUUUCAUCAUCAGCAAUAACUUAAUUUUAUUUCUACUCUGUCAAUGAAAAGAAAAAGCCUCGUUUGAAUCUCGAAACAAAUAACCCAUUCAAUCGCCAGCUACUCAUACUAUCACUGCACUGCACUUUGAAAUAUAUAAUUGCAUGCGUCCUUCUCCCUCCACUUCCAUUGCCACAAUUCCCCGCCUCUUGUUUUUUAAGAACUCACACGGCAAACUCACUGUUUCAAAGGAGGAGUGGGAGUGAGGAUAGGAGAAACAGAAUUAAAGCAAAUAAUCUGCUGAAAGAAGACAAGAAAGAAGAAAAAUGAAAGAAAACGAAAAUAAAACGAAGCGG
Molecule: small RNA, 632 nt
Filed under: Histoplasma capsulatum var. duboisii H88
Lineage: Eukaryota; Fungi; Ascomycota; Eurotiomycetes; Onygenales; Ajellomycetaceae
Description: Histoplasma capsulatum H88 hypothetical RNA
Source: RNAcentral